This 439-nucleotide ribosomal RNA is filed under the name uncultured bacterium. RNAcentral's name for it is "partial 16S ribosomal RNA". It matches the Rfam family "Bacterial small subunit ribosomal RNA", at positions 339 to 795 of the family's 1533-position model. The record is from RNAcentral.
CUACGGGCGGCACCAGUGGGGAAUAUUGCACAAUGGAGGAAACUCUGAUGCAGCAACGCCGCGUGGAGGAUGACACUUUUCGGAGCGUAAACUCCUUUUAUAUAGGAAGAUAAUGACGGUACUAUAUGAAUAAGCACCGGCUAACUCCGUGCCAGCAGCCGCGGUAAUACGGAGGGUGCAAGCGUUACUCGGGAUCACUGGGCGUAAAGAGCGUGUAGGCGGAUAGAUAAGUCAGGAGUGAAAUCCUAUGGCUCAACCAUAGAACUGCUCUUGAAACUGUCUAUCUAGAAUAUGGGAGAGGUAGAUGGAAUUUCUGGUGUAGGGGUAAAAUCCGUAGAGAUCAGAAGGAAUACCGAUUGCGAAGGCGAUCUACUGGAACAUUAUUGACGCUGAGACGCGAAAGCGUGGGGAGCAAACAGGAUUAGAUACCCGCGUAGUC